Molecule: long non-coding RNA, 673 nt
Filed under: Marmota monax (woodchuck)
Lineage: Eukaryota; Metazoa; Chordata; Mammalia; Rodentia; Sciuridae
Source: RNAcentral
CAGCAGUUUUCUCUGUGUUUUUCACUAUACAAAGUCUAAUUUGGGACAGAAAAGAUCCAUUUUUCAUAGGAUAUAUCAGGGCACAUAUAGGAUUGACUGGAGCCCUUAGUUCAGGCAAUGAUUUAGCAGAUAAAACUACACAUGACAUAUAUGUUUUUUUCAAUACUAGAAGCAGCAACAAAUUUUCAUAAAUCCUUCCAUGUCAAUGCUAGUACUUUAAAAAAGCAUUUUAAAGUAACUAAGGAACAAGCUAGACAAAUAGUAAAACAAUAUCAAAAUUGUGUGACAUUUUUACCACACGUUAAUCUUGGAAUCAAUCCGAGAGGACUGAUACCUAAUCAUAUAUGGCAAAUGAAUGUCACACAUUUGCCAGAAUUUGGAAAAUUAAAAGAUUUGCAUGUUAAAUUUGAUACUUCUUCUAGAUAUUUGAUGGGCUCCCUUCAUGGUGGAGAAAAAUCUAAAGAUAUUAUAUCUCAUUGUUUACAAAACUUUACAACUGUGGGCAUUCCAAAACAGUUAAAAACAGAUAAUGGCCCUCUCUAUACUUCUACUUCUUUUAAGCAAUUUUGCUCAUCAUUUGGCAUUACUCAUAUAACAGGAAUUCCGUAUAAUCCACAGGGACAAGGUAUAGUUGAAAGAGCUCAACAAACUAUUAAAAUGUACUUACUAAAAC